AAUCCACAACGUUCUCAGCGAUGGCGGCGGUGCGCGGAAGCCGCGGAAUCCCCCCCACCCGAAUUCUCUGAAAGCUGGUGACCUCGUGUUUGGGCGAGCACUGCGCAAGUGCUUGGGCGAGCGAAGGAUUCUUCACAACUACGCUUUUGCACCCUGGUCUUUGCCAGUGCUGAAGCCAACUGGUGGCCGAUUCGUUUGAGGUGUUGGCCCGAUCGUGGAUCGAUGUCAGCAUCUGGCCCCAUGGAAGAACGGCUUGGGAAUGACGGUCUGGCCUCGCUCACAGAGGCGGGAGGACAGCAGG
Ixodes scapularis (black-legged tick) is the source of this 301-nucleotide RNA transcript. RefSeq lists it as uncharacterized. The transcript has 3 exons. The record is from RefSeq and is a predicted model, not a curated record. Lineage: Eukaryota; Metazoa; Arthropoda; Arachnida; Ixodida; Ixodidae.